GGUUAAGCGACUAAGCGUACACGGUGGAUGCCCUGGCAGUCAGAGGCGAUGAAGGGCGUGCUAAUCUGCGAUAAGCGCCGGUAAGGUGAUAUGAACCGUUAUAACCGGCGAUACCCGAAUGGGGAAACCCAGUGUGACUCGUCACACUAUCAUUAACUGAAUCCAUAGGUUAAUGAGGCGAACCGGGGGAACUGAAACAUCUAAGUACCCCGAGGAAAAGAAAUCAACCGAGAUUCCCCCAGUAGCGGCGAGCGAACGGGGAGGAGCCCAGAGCCUGAAUCAGCAUGUGUGUUAGUGGAAGCGUCUGGAAAGGCGCGCGAUACAGGGUGACAGCCCCGUACACAAAAGCGCAUGUGCUGUGAGCUCGAUGAGUAGGGCGGGACACGUGGUAUCCUGUCUGAAUAUGGGGGGACCAUCCUCCAAGGCUAAAUACUCCUGACUGACCGAUAGUGAACCAGUACCGUGAGGGAAAGGCGAAAAGAACCCCGGCGAGGGGAGUGAAAAAGAACCUGAAACCGUGUACGUACAAGCAGUGGGAGCACAGGUUUACCUGUGUGACUGCGUACCUUUUGUAUAAUGGGUCAGCGACUUAUAUUCUGUAGCAAGGUUAACCGAAUAGGGGAGCCGGAGGGAAACCGAGUCUUAAUUGGGCGUUAAGUUGCAGGGUAUAGACCCGAAACCCGGUGAUCUAGCCAUGGGCAGGUUGAAGGUUGGGUAACACUAACUGGAGGACCGAACCGACUAAUGUUGAAAAAUUAGCGGAUGACCUGUGGCUGGGGGUGAAAGGCCAAUCAAACCGGGAGAUAGCUGGUUCUCCCCGAAAGCUAUUUAGGUAGCGCCUCGUGAAUUCAUCUCCGGGGGUAGAGCACUGUUUCGGCUAGGGGGCCAUCCCGGCUUACCAACCCGAUGCAAACUGCGAAUACCGGAGAAUGUUAUCACGGGAGACACACGGCGGGUGCUAACGUCCGUCGUGAAGAGGGAAACAACCCAGACCGCCAGCUAAGGUCCCAAAGUCAUGGUUAAGUGGGAAACGAUGUGGGAAGGCCCAGACAGCCAGGAUGUUGGCUUAGAAGCAGCCAUCAUUUAAAGAAAGCGUAAUAGCUCACUGGUCGAGUCGGCCUGCGCGGAAGAUGUAACGGGGCUAAACCAUGCACCGAAGCUGCGGCAGCGAACGUAUCACUUAAAGCGAUUCAGCGGGUUACGAUUGACGGAGCGAAGCGACGUCAAAGCGUAUACAAAGUCGAGUCGGUUUAAGGAUACGUUCGUUGGGUAGGGGAGCGUUCUGUAAGCCUGUGAAGGUGGCCUGUGAGGGUUGCUGGAGGUAUCAGAAGUGCGAAUGCUGACAUAAGUAACGAUAAAGCGGGUGAAAAGCCCGCUCGCCGGAAGACCAAGGGUUCCUGUCCAACGUUAAUCGGGGCAGGGUGAGUCGACCCCUAAGGCGAGGCCGAAAGGCGUAGUCGAUGGGAAACAGGUUAAUAUUCCUGUACUUGGUGUUACUGCGAAGGGGGGACGGAGAAGGCUAUGUUGGCCGGGCGACGGUUGUCCCGGUUUAAGCGUGUAGGCUGGUUUUCCAGGCAAAUCCGGAAAAUCAAGGCUGAGGCGUGAUGACGAGGCACUACGGUGCUGAAGCAACAAAUGCCCUGCUUCCAGGAAAAGCCUCUAAGCAUCAGGUAACAUCAAAUCGUACCCCAAACCGACACAGGUGGUCAGGUAGAGAAUACCAAGGCGCUUGAGAGAACUCGGGUGAAGGAACUAGGCAAAAUGGUGCCGUAACUUCGGGAGAAGGCACGCUGACACGUAGGUGAAGUGAUUUACUCACGGAGCUGAAGUCAGUCGAAGAUACCAGCUGGCUGCAACUGUUUAUUAAAAACACAGCACUGUGCAAACACGAAAGUGGACGUAUACGGUGUGACGCCUGCCCGGUGCCGGAAGGUUAAUUGAUGGGGUCAGCGCAAGCGAAGCUCCUGAUCGAAGCCCCGGUAAACGGCGGCCGUAACUAUAACGGUCCUAAGGUAGCGAAAUUCCUUGUCGGGUAAGUUCCGACCUGCACGAAUGGCGUAAUGAUGGCCAGGCUGUCUCCACCCGAGACUCAGUGAAAUUGAACUCGCUGUGAAGAUGCAGUGUACCCGCGGCAAGACGGAAAGACCCCGUGAACCUUUACUAUAGCUUGACACUGAACAUUGAGCCUUGAUGUGUAGGAUAGGUGGGAGGCUUUGAAGUGUGGACGCCAGUCUGCAUGGAGCCGACCUUGAAAUACCACCCUUUAAUGUUUGAUGUUCUAACGUGGACCCGUAAUCCGGGUUGCGGACAGUGUCUGGUGGGUAGUUUGACUGGGGCGGUCUCCUCCUAAAGAGUAACGGAGGAGCACGAAGGUUGGCUAAUCCUGGUCGGACAUCAGGAGGUUAGUGCAAUGGCAUAAGCCAGCUUGACUGCGAGCGUGACGGCGCGAGCAGGUGCGAAAGCAGGUCAUAGUGAUCCGGUGGUUCUGAAUGGAAGGGCCAUCGCUCAACGGAUAAAAGGUACUCCGGGGAUAACAGGCUGAUACCGCCCAAGAGUUCAUAUCGACGGCGGUGUUUGGCACCUCGAUGUCGGCUCAUCACAUCCUGGGGCUGAAGUAGGUCCCAAGGGUAUGGCUGUUCGCCAUUUAAAGUGGUACGCGAGCUGGGUUUAGAACGUCGUGAGACAGUUCGGUCCCUAUCUGCCGUGGGCGCUGGAGAACUGAGGGGGGCUGCUCCUAGUACGAGAGGACCGGAGUGGACGCAUCACUGGUGUUCGGGUUGUCAUGCCAAUGGCACUGCCCGGUAGCUAAAUGCGGAAGAGAUAAGUGCUGAAAGCAUCUAAGCACGAAACUUGCCCCGAGAUGAGUUCUCCCUGAGACUUAGAGUCUCCUGAAGGAACGUUGAAGACGACGACGUUGAUAGGCCGGGUGUGUAAGCGCAGCGAUGCGUUGAGCUAACCGGUACUAAUGAACCGUGAGGCUUAACCUU
This 2987-nucleotide ribosomal RNA is filed under the name Salmonella enterica subsp. enterica. Its description in RNAcentral is "23S ribosomal RNA". It matches the Rfam family "Bacterial large subunit ribosomal RNA". Lineage: Bacteria; Pseudomonadati; Pseudomonadota; Gammaproteobacteria; Enterobacterales; Enterobacteriaceae. The record is from RNAcentral. RNAcentral also lists the same sequence under 2 other names.